CUGGGUUUAGAACGUCGUGAGACAGUUCGGUCCCUAUCUGCCGUGGGCGCUGGAGAACUGAGGGGGGCUGCUCCUAGUACGAGAGGACCGGAGUGGACGCAUCACUGGUGUUCGGGUUGUCAUGCCAAUGGCACUGCCCGGUAGCUAAAUGCGGAAGAGAUAAGUGCUGAAAGCAUCUAAGCACGAAACUUGCCCCGAGAUGAGUUCUCCCUGAGACUUAGAGUCUCCUGAAGGAACGUUGAAGACGACRACGUUGAUAGGCCGGGUGUGUAAGCGCAGCGAUGCGUUGAGCUAACCGGUACUAAUGAACCGUGAGGCUUAACCUU
This 326-nucleotide ribosomal RNA is filed under the name Salmonella enterica. RNAcentral's name for it is "partial 23S ribosomal RNA". The record is from RNAcentral. Lineage: Bacteria; Pseudomonadati; Pseudomonadota; Gammaproteobacteria; Enterobacterales; Enterobacteriaceae.